This 501-nucleotide ribosomal RNA is filed under the name uncultured bacterium. Its description in RNAcentral is "partial 16S ribosomal RNA". It matches the Rfam family "Bacterial small subunit ribosomal RNA", at positions 30 to 523 of the family's 1533-position model. The record is from RNAcentral.
AUUGAACGCUGGCGGCAGGCUUAACACAUGCAAGUCGAGCGGAGAUGAGGUGCUUGCACCUUAUCUUAGCGGCGGACGGGUGAGUAAUGCUUAGGAAUCUGCCUAUUAGUGGGGGACAACAUUCCGAAAGGAAUGCUAAUACCGCAUACGUCCUACGGGAGAAAGCAGGGGAUCUUCGGACCUUGCGCUAAUAGAUGAGCCUAAGUCGGAUUAGCUAGUUGGUGGGGUAAAGGCCUACCAAGGCGACGAUCUGUAGCGGGUCUGAGAGGAUGAUCCGCCACACUGGGACUGAGACACGGCCCAGACUCCUACGGGAGGCAGCAGUGGGGAAUAUUGGACAAUGGGGGGAACCCUGAUCCAGCCAUGCCGCGUGUGUGAAGAAGGCCUUAUGGUUGUAAAGCACUUUAAGCGAGGAGGAGGCUACUGAGACUAAUACUCUUGGAUAGUGGACGUUACUCGCAGAAUAAGCACCGGCUAACCCUGCGCCAGCAGCCGCAGUAA